UGGAUCCCAACUCAGCAGGAAUCCUAAUCCCCGGGUGGUAUUCAAAAUCAUUGCUCUGAUUGUGGGCCUUGUUAAAACAUGUCACGUUAUCUAUCAAGUAAGUACUAGUAAUUGCUUGCUAGCUGCCGAACUUUGCAAUUGAUUUCUUCCUCUGGCAUCCCUUAACCCACCUCCCUCCCCACUCGAAAUCAGUUUUCUUUUUUGCAAACUGUAUGUCAUAUCCCUCAGUGCUUUUAGUACCUUUCAUCUGCUGCAUAUAUGCAGAAAUCCCCUCAAUAGGGCCACCAUUUUCUUGCAACAGGCAAGGGUGGACUAUUUUAUCAAAGGUUUACUUUCUUAACUAUCUUAAUGUCAUGGUAGAAAUUAGGGGCUGAUGUGAAUUUGUAUAGGAUGUAUAGGGUUAGCAUGUUACGGAACUCUUAAGAUGGCCUAAGGGCAUUGUGGGAGAUUUUGUGUUAGUAUACCCCCAUUAACUUUUGUAAGGGGCAUAGCCUUACAAAAUCCUAGUAAAAAGGUGAACAUGGUUUCCUGUUAUGAUUAAUGCAUUAAAAUUUCAAAAAAAAAACAUCACAGUUUACCAGAUAACUUUCCUUCAGCUUUUAGUUCCCGUUACCUCAUCUCUACUGGAAUUGUGCUUCAUUUGAGGGAAAAUAAUACAAUUCAGUUUACGGAAUCUUUAUAUUUCAUCAGCUUAUUUGCAUUGCUUGUUCUAUGACAGGCAAAUGAAACCCUUUUCAUGCUCUGAGAGGAUCAGGAUGUUGCGGCCUUUUUAACCAGUAAAUGUUUCUUUUAGCUAUGGUGCAAUGUUUCCCGUGAACAUGAUGAAGUGACCUUUUGUUAUCCAAGUUUUUGACUUUUCCUUAAA
Molecule: long non-coding RNA, 865 nt
Filed under: Theobroma cacao (cacao)
Lineage: Eukaryota; Viridiplantae; Streptophyta; Magnoliopsida; Malvales; Malvaceae
Description: long non-coding RNA (TCAC_LNC000061)
Source: RNAcentral